This 112-nucleotide unclassified non-coding RNA is filed under the name Chryseobacterium formosense. RNAcentral describes it as "Flavo-1 RNA". Lineage: Bacteria; Pseudomonadati; Bacteroidota; Flavobacteriia; Flavobacteriales; Weeksellaceae. The record is from RNAcentral.
AUUUAGCCUCGAUUGAACGGCCUGUCUGAGCUCUUUUAAUUGGUUUUUGCGCGGCGGCAAAGCCGCCGCGCAAAAACCAAUUAAAAAGCGAGUAGUGAAAGCGAGAUUAAGC